AGAGCGAACGCUGGCGGCAGGCCUAAAACAUGCAAGUCGAACGGACCCUUCGGGGUUAGUGGCGGACGGGUGAGUAACACGUGGGAACGUGCCUUUUGGUUCAGAACAACUCAGGGAAACUUGAGCUAAUACUGAAUAAGCCCUACGGGGGAAAGAUUUAUCGCCAUUAGAGCGGCCCGCGUUGGAUUAGCUAGUUGGUGAGGUAAAGGCUCACCAAGGCUACGAUCCAUAGCUGGUCUGAGAGGAUGAUCAGCCACACUGGGACUGAGACACGGCCCAGACUCCUACGGGAGGCAGCAGUUAGGAAUCUUGCGCAAUGGGCGAAAGCCUGACGCAGCCAUGCCGCGUGAAUGAUGAAGGUCUUAGGAUUGUAAAAUUCUUUCAGUGGGAAGAUAAUGACUGUACCACAGAAGAGCUCCGGCUAACUUCGCGCCAGCAGCCGC
RNAcentral lists this ribosomal RNA (443 nucleotides) under uncultured bacterium. RNAcentral's name for it is "SSU rRNA". It matches the Rfam family "Bacterial small subunit ribosomal RNA", at positions 26 to 518 of the family's 1533-position model. The record is from RNAcentral.